CCUACGGGUGGCUGCAGUCGAGAAUCAUUCACAAUGGGGGAAACCCUGAUGGUGCGACGCCGCGUGGGGGAAUGAAGGUCUUCGGAUUGUAAACCCCUGUCAUGUGGGAGCAAAUUAAAAAGAUAGUACCACAAGAGGAAGAGACGGCUAACUCUGUGCCAGCAGCCGCGGUAAUACAGAGGUCUCAAGCGUUGUUCGGAAUCACUGGGCGUAAAGCGUGCGUAGGCUGUUUCGUAAGUCGUGUGUGAAAGGCGCGGGCUCAACCCGCGGACGGCACAUGAUACUGCGAGACUAGAGUAAGGGCGGGGGAACCGGAAUUCUCGGUGUAGCAGUGAAAUGCGUAGAUAUCGAGAGGAACACUCGUGGCGAAGGCGGGUUCCUGGACAUUAACUGACGCUGAGGCACGAAGGCCAGGGGAGCGAAAGGGAUUAGAUACCCGAGUAGUC
RNAcentral lists this ribosomal RNA (446 nucleotides) under uncultured bacterium. RNAcentral describes it as "partial 16S ribosomal RNA". It matches the Rfam family "Bacterial small subunit ribosomal RNA", at positions 338 to 795 of the family's 1533-position model. The record is from RNAcentral.